UACGUAGGGCGCAAGCGUUGUCCGGAAUUAUUGGGCGUAAAGAGCUCGUAGGCGGCCUGUUACGUCUGCUGUGAAAUCCCGGGGCUUAACCCCGGGCGUGCAGUGGAUACGGGCAGGCUGGAGGCAGGCAGGGGAGAACGGAAUUCCCGGUGUAGCGGUGAAAUGCGCAGAUAUCGGGAGGAACACCGGUGGCGAAGGCGGGUCUCUGGGCCGUAACUGACGCUGAGGAGCGAAAGCAUGGGUAGCGAACAGG
This 253-nucleotide ribosomal RNA is filed under the name uncultured bacterium. Its description in RNAcentral is "partial 16S ribosomal RNA". It matches the Rfam family "Bacterial small subunit ribosomal RNA", at positions 524 to 776 of the family's 1533-position model. The record is from RNAcentral.